This 1228-nucleotide long non-coding RNA is filed under the name Equus asinus (donkey). RNAcentral's name for it is "lncRNA (ENSEASG00005038517.1)". The record is from RNAcentral. Lineage: Eukaryota; Metazoa; Chordata; Mammalia; Perissodactyla; Equidae.
GUUUGCCUCCAGAGCGUGCAGGCUGGGAAGGAGCGUGCAGGAAGGAGCGUGCGCGAAUUGGGGGGCAGGGACUGGAGCUGGGCUGGGCUGUGAAGGAAGUUUAGACGUUGGACUUUGUCUAGUUGAUCGGCAUCACCUUCUUGCUGAGUGACUUUUAUACCUUAUUUUCAACAAAUCAGCCACAGACACCAUAGUGCAUUUAAAAAUGCCGCCAUGGGCUGCUGCCAGUGCUCACGCAGGGUCACAAAUACUCUUCAUUGUUUCAUGGAUGGCACAGCUCCGGGCCGGAGCGCCCGCCGAGACCCUUGUCAUGGGCGCACACCCUCUGUCUCGGGAAUCUUGCUGUUCCUUCUGCGGGAUGGCUCCUCUGUCAGCACUGGCCGGCACCUCGGACCUCGUGUGGGAGCCCUGCAUCUGGGGACUGAGCAGACUUCUGCUCUCAGAAGUGAGACUGCCCCUCACAUGUGACUGAGGUUGACACAGUGGGAUUCCAUCGCUUGGUAAAGAGGACCCAAAUGUAAAGUCUGAGAGGACCAUUUGAAAUCCUCCCAGUGAAAUGGGAGCACGCUUUUAAGCCAUGAAAAUAAACACGAGUUCCGCCACCAGGACUCAGAGGGAAGCAGGAAUUUAUGAUGCUGGAUCGCUCUCUUUCUCCUGCUUUUGUUUUCAGAAAAACAAUUAGGGAUUCUGUGAUAGGCAGCCUCGAAGGUGGCCCGCAAUGAUCCCAUUCACCUUGUAUGUACACCUUUGAAUGUAGUGUGGACGAAGUGACUUGCUUCUAAAGAAGAGAGCAGAGCGGAAGUGGUGGGAUGUCACUUCUGAUAUUUGGUUAUAAAAAGACUGUGGCUUCCAUCUUGGGUGCUCUCUCUUACCCACUCUUGGAUCACACGGCCUAGAUGACUCCAGUCACAAAAUCAUGAGGCAGCCUGUGGAGAGGCCCAGGGGGUGAGGGACAGGGGCAUGACAACAGCCACGUGAGUAAGCUCGGAAACAGACCCCCACACCUCAUAUCAAGCCUUCAGAUGAGACCACAGCCCCAGCUGACAGCUUGACUGCAACUUCAUGAGACAUCUUCAGCCGCAGACACCCAGCCAGGCUGUGUUCAUGUUCCUGACUGAUAGGAAGCAUGAGACAAUAAACGUUUGUCAUUUUAAGCUGCCAAGUUUUGGGGUAAUUUGUUACACAGCAAAAUAUAACUACAGCUUCCUAGCCCAGCAAGAAGUAAAAA